UAUGUUAUGGUGUGUGACGCACAAUGAAUUUUGAUUUCGUUGGUUUAAGUUUGAUUCUUAAUAAUAUAA
RNAcentral lists this transfer RNA (69 nucleotides) under Libiocoris heissi. Its description in RNAcentral is "tRNA-Gln". The record is from RNAcentral. Lineage: Eukaryota; Metazoa; Arthropoda; Insecta; Hemiptera; Aradidae.